This is a long non-coding RNA of Canis lupus familiaris (dog), 360 nucleotides long. RefSeq lists it as uncharacterized. The record is from RefSeq and is a predicted model, not a curated record. The transcript has 3 exons. NCBI's taxonomy places the organism in Eukaryota, Metazoa, Chordata, Mammalia, Carnivora, Canidae.
CACAAUCAGAAUGAACUUCCUAAAAUAUAAAGGGGAACAUGUUCCUCUCUUGCUUACAGUCUUCACAAAAAAUACUCCAAUAUAUCAGCAUAAUAUAUAAGUCAAGCUAACUUUUUCUUCUCCAAACUUACUUCAGAGGACAAAAGCAGAAGGAAGGAGAAAUGCAAUGGAGCUACAGAAGUGACCACCCUCCUUCCCAGGACUCUGAAAUCUGGAUCCAGGCUCCAUCACACAGUUGGAAAGACUUGGGAAUUCAGAUGGCAUUUGAGAAGUAUAUCAGAAAAUCACAUUUGAAAAAAAGAAAAUCACAUUUGAAAUUAUAUUCUUCAUUGGAAGGCAUGUAUUGUUAAUUACUGUUAC